Molecule: non-coding RNA, 1163 nt
Organism: Phalacrocorax carbo (great cormorant)
Lineage: Eukaryota; Metazoa; Chordata; Aves; Suliformes; Phalacrocoracidae
Source: RefSeq, a predicted model, not a curated record
GCCAGGCCCCGGCCCGGCCAGGCCCCGGCCACGCGUUCCGCGGCAGGGGCGCGAGGGGCUCCACCGUCGCUCAGCCUGUGCCGAAAGAGCUCGUCAGCCACUGCCCAGGGAGGGCAGGCCGCGGGGCGGGUGGCGGUCGGUGGCAGCGUGCUCACUCCUCACGCCUAAGCAAGAAAGCGAGAAGCAGGGCAAUCAACUCCAUAGAAUGUAAGAGAUGAACAAACAAGAAAAUUAUAUCCAUCUUUUCUUCAAGAAGCUACAUGAGGUCACUCAGUAUCUGACUUCUUCAACUAAGAAUUGGCCAGAACUGAACAGAUUCCCUCCACUGGUAAGAAUGAUCAUAUAAGAAUCAGACAAGGAACGGCAAUGGAGAGCUCUCUCUGGAUGAUCAAGACCAUGCUGGUAAAAAAGGACCCAGAAAGCAACCAGUGAGGUCUUUCUCAGCUGUCUGUGACCUCUGUCCUCAUCUUUAAUGAAAGCAGGUUCAAGACUGAGAAAGCCUAAGAGAAAAGUUUCAUUAACAUCUUGAGGAAGAUGUGGAAGCAGCAGCAAACAAAAAGGUCAGGUGCUACCGUGCUGCUUGAGCAUCCAAACAUAAAUAGGAAAGUUUGUAAGUCUGCUUUAAAGACCUCUGUUGUGGGUUCUGCUGUUGACAAGUUGGAAAGAACAGCUGAAGCAUUAAGAGUACACUUUCAAGGGCUGAGGUUGUUUCAAGUCAAGACAUCCCUCUGCUGCAUACUUUAAGGAGAGUUUAUAGGUGUUUCUAAAGCAUUUUAAUACAACUGUGAUGGGGCAAUAGAAGUACCUAAAGAGAUCUCGAGAGAAGCCCAAGUUUAAAGUACUGAAUCUGCUAGCCUCGAGUCCAUGAAUGAUGUUGCAUCCAUAAAUCAAAAUGCUCCGACCAGCCCCUUUGGAAGGAAACCAUCCUGUAAAGCAACAUUCAAACCUGCAGACUGUGACAAAGCAGUAAAUUCAGUCUCCAAGAAUUUGCUUUCAGAAGCACUAUUGUACCUACUGUCUUGCUAAUGAGUAAGGCUCUAAGACUCUUAGAAAUAACCAGUGAGGAUAUCCUGAAGAGCUGGGCUCCCUGAGUCCCAAUGCCUGUGAAUUCUCACCCUUCCACCUCUUCAUUCACACUCGUCUGUCUUGUGCUGGAAACCAGC